GACGAACGCUGGCGGCGUGCUUAACACAUGCAAGUCGAACGGAAAGGCCCUGCUUUUGUGGGGUGCUCGAGUGGCGAACGGGUGAGUAACACGGGAGUAACCUGCCCUUGACUUUGGGAUAACUUCAGGAAACUGGGGCUAAUACCGGAUAGGAGCUCCUGCUGCAUGGUGGGGGUUGGAAAGUUUCGGCGGUUGGGGAUGGACUCGCGGCUUAUCAGCUUGUUGGUGGGGUAGUGGCUUACCAAGGCUUUGACGGGUGGCCGGCCUGAGAGGGUGACCGGCCACAUUGGGACUGAGAUACGGCCCAGACUCCUACGGGAGGCAGCAGUGGGGAAUAUUGCACAAUGGGCGGAAGCCUGAUGCAGCAACGCCGCGUGCGGGAUGACGGCCUUCGGGUUGUAAACCGCUUUCGCCUGUGACGAAGCGUGAGUGACGGUAAUGGGUAAAGAAGCACCGGCUAACUACGUG
This 468-nucleotide ribosomal RNA is filed under the name uncultured bacterium. RNAcentral describes it as "partial 16S ribosomal RNA". It matches the Rfam family "Bacterial small subunit ribosomal RNA", at positions 28 to 507 of the family's 1533-position model. The record is from RNAcentral.